Molecule: ribosomal RNA, 497 nt
Filed under: uncultured bacterium
Lineage: Bacteria
Description: partial 16S ribosomal RNA
Rfam family: Bacterial small subunit ribosomal RNA
Source: RNAcentral
GACGAACGCUGGCGGCGUGCCUAAUACAUGCAAGUAGAACGCUGAAGAGAGGAGCUUGCUCUUCUUGGAUGAGUUGCGAACGGGUGAGUAACGCGUAGGUAACCUGCCUUGUAGCGGGGGAUAACUAUUGGAAACGAUAGCUAAUACCGCAUAACAAUGGAUGACACAUGUCAUUUAUUUGAAAGGGGCAAUUGCUCCACUACAAGAUGGACCUGCGUUGUAUUAGCUAGUAGGUGAGGUAACGGCUCACCUAGGCGACGAUACAUAGCCGACCUGAGAGGGUGAUCGGCCACACUGGGACUGAGACACGGCCCAGACUCCUACGGGAGGCAGCAGGAGGGAAUCUUCGGCAAUGGGGGCAACCCUGACCGAGCAACGCCGCGGGGGUGAAGAAGGUUUUCGGAUCGUAAAGCUCUGUUGUAAGUCAAGAACGAGUGUGAGAGUGGAAAGUUCACACUGUGACGGUAGCUUACCAGAAAGGGACGGCUAACUACGUG